GAUCAGCAUGCCGCGGUGAAUACGUUCCCGGGCCUUGUACACACCGCCCGUCACACCAUGGGAGCCGGUAAUACCCGAAGUCAGUAGUCCAACCUCGUGAGGACGCUGCCGAAGGUAGGAUUGGCGACUGGGGUGAAGUCGUAACAAGGUAGC
RNAcentral lists this ribosomal RNA (153 nucleotides) under uncultured bacterium. RNAcentral describes it as "partial 16S ribosomal RNA". It matches the Rfam family "Bacterial small subunit ribosomal RNA", at positions 1347 to 1500 of the family's 1533-position model. The record is from RNAcentral.